This 253-nucleotide ribosomal RNA is filed under the name uncultured bacterium. RNAcentral's name for it is "partial 16S ribosomal RNA". It matches the Rfam family "Bacterial small subunit ribosomal RNA", at positions 524 to 776 of the family's 1533-position model. The record is from RNAcentral.
UACAGAGGUCUCAAGCGUUGUUCGGAUUUACUGGGCGUAAAGGGUGCGUAGGCGGUGACGUAAGUCGAGUGUGAAAUCUUCCGGCUCAACCGGAAAAUUGCACUUGAUACUGCGUCACUAGAGGACUGUAGAGGAGACUGGAAUUCACGGUGUAGCAGUGAAAUGCGUAGAUAUCGUGAGGAAGACCGGUGGCGAAAGCGAGUCUCUGGGCAGUUCCUGACGCUGAGGCACGAAGGCUAGGGGAGCAAACGGG